GUCCUACGGGGCGCAGCAGUGGGGGAUAUUGCACAAUGGGGGAAACCCUGAUGCAGCGACGCCGCGUGUGGGAAGACGGUCCUCUGGAUUGUAAACCACUGUCCCCAGGGACGAAGAUGACGGUACCUGGGGAGGAAGCUCCGGCUAACUACGUGCCAGCAGCCGCGGUAGUACGUAGGGAGCAAGCGUUGUCCGGAAUUACUGGGUGUAAAGGGAGCGUAGGCGGGAUGGCAAGUCUGGUGUUAAAUCUACCGGCUCAACUGGUAGUCGCACUCGAAACUGCUAUUCUUUGGUG
This 295-nucleotide ribosomal RNA is filed under the name uncultured bacterium. RNAcentral describes it as "partial 16S ribosomal RNA". It matches the Rfam family "Bacterial small subunit ribosomal RNA", at positions 335 to 648 of the family's 1533-position model. The record is from RNAcentral.